Pomacea canaliculata is the source of this 758-nucleotide long non-coding RNA. RefSeq lists it as uncharacterized. The record is from RefSeq and is a predicted model, not a curated record. Lineage: Eukaryota; Metazoa; Mollusca; Gastropoda; Architaenioglossa; Ampullariidae. The transcript is spliced from 2 exons.
UGGCUUCUCUGCGUUCUCGACGUCUGCGCUCAAGGUCAUCUUCUCCCCCGUUGAUGGAGGAACUCGCUUCUGCCGCUCUAUGCACACAGGUCAUGUGACCGAGGAGGGAUUCUGUAGUAGUACAACCAAAAUGAAGAAAGAAGAAAAAAUAAGAAAAGGAAGAAAGAAAGGAAGGUUCUAAAAGCGAUUUGGCAAGAAAGAAGGAGAUAUUUCAAUUGAACGCUUCAGUAUGGUGAAAAUUUUAAUGCAGGGAAAGAAAGCUGUAGAAAUCUCUCCAGUGAAACCUUUAAAUUUCCAAGAUCACUACUAAACUCUUCCUAAAUGCUCAUAAUAUGUGGUACUAAAACCAGUACUACUACUGUAAGUGCUGGAAGAGAUGGUUCUGCUAGAGAAGAAGAAGUUGAGAGAGACUGGUUACAAGUUCAUCUAAACGCUACUACUUAUAUUGUGAAUACAUUCAAGUUAUACUGCUUUUAAAGAAGUUACUACAAAAGCUAUCUUCUCAUAGAAAUCUACAUUACUUUGGCAGACUGUCCGUAAAGCAUUCAAUUAGUCCGGCCACUGAAUGCCGACAAAGCUACUGGACAUAAUGUAGAAGCCGUGAAACGAUUAAAAAGUGAUAAGGAUUCAUCCAGCACUCCUAGCCUUGGUAAACUGAUACUAACCCCACCAAAUGGACAUUAAACUUUUGUAGAUUAUAAUCAAAAAUACUUCAAGAUAAGAAGGGCAGCAAGCAGGUAAAGGUUAAGAAUGAAAGG